AUUACGAAGCUUAUAGCGUUAACCUUUUAAGUUAAAGUUUGAGAUAAUAAGUCUCCGUAGUGAA
Molecule: transfer RNA, 64 nt
Filed under: Lasiopodomys mandarinus (Mandarin vole)
Lineage: Eukaryota; Metazoa; Chordata; Mammalia; Rodentia; Cricetidae
Description: tRNA-Lys
Source: RNAcentral